CCUACGGGCGGCAGCAGUGGGGAAUAUUGCACAAUGGGGGAAACCCUGAUGCAGCGACGUCGCGUGAGUGAUGAAGUAUUUCGGUAUGUAAAGCUCUAUCAGCAGGGAAGAAAAUGACGGUACCUGACUAAGAAGCCCCGGCUAACUACGUGCCAGCAGGCGCGGUAAUACGUAGGGAGCAAGCGUUAUCCGGAUUUACUGGGUGUAAAGGGAGCGUAGACGGGGGUGCAAGCCAGAUGUGAAAGCCCUGGGCUCAACCCCGGGACUGCAUUUGGAACUGUGCUGCUAGAGUGUCGGAGGGGCAGGCGGAAUGCCUAGUGUAGCGGUGAAAUGCUUAGAUAGUAGGAGGAACACCAGUGGCGAAGGCGGCCUGCUGGACGAUGACUGACGUUGAGGCUCGAAAGCGUGGGGAGCAAACAGGAUUAGAUACCCCGGUAGUC
This 440-nucleotide ribosomal RNA is filed under the name uncultured bacterium. RNAcentral's name for it is "partial 16S ribosomal RNA". It matches the Rfam family "Bacterial small subunit ribosomal RNA", at positions 338 to 795 of the family's 1533-position model. The record is from RNAcentral.